AUACAAGACCUUUUAGAGAUUGUACUAUGAACUACAUAUGAAUGUACAUAGACACAUUUCAGAGCAUAAAUUCAUUCAUUUUGCUCCGUAUGUAGUCUCCUAGUAAAAUCUCUAAAAGGUCUUAUAUUUUGAAACGGAGGGAGUACUUCUUAGCAACUUAUUACUAUAUACUCCCUCCGUCCGGAAUUACUUGUCGCAUAAAUGUAUGAAAAUGGAUGUAUCUAGAACUAAAACACAUCUAGGUACUGUUAGGAAUAAGCAACUUGUAUUCCCAUGAGGCCAUAGGCCAGUAUA
RNAcentral lists this long non-coding RNA (294 nucleotides) under Hordeum vulgare. RNAcentral's name for it is "long non-coding RNA (HVUL_LNC004186)". The record is from RNAcentral. Lineage: Eukaryota; Viridiplantae; Streptophyta; Magnoliopsida; Poales; Poaceae.